This 23-nucleotide non-coding RNA is filed under the name Cricetulus griseus (Chinese hamster). Lineage: Eukaryota; Metazoa; Chordata; Mammalia; Rodentia; Cricetidae. The record is from RNAcentral.
GCAGCCCUGGACAGUAUUAAAAC